UCAGCUGAGGGGUUAAAUUAUAUUAUCAUCAGAAUGAUGAUCGGCGCUACGCCUACGCUAUUGACAUUUAAGAUCGCGUUUGUCCCACUAAUUUGCAUUCGCGCAAACACCGCAGAGAUGAGUCAGAGACAAUUGCGCUCGAUGAUCGCGCAUGCAAGUUACACCACUGCAUCGUGGCCGAUUUACAGCCGCGAUCCAGCCGAACAUGUCAUCGCAGGAAACACGAGCCGAAUUUUUAUAGCCCAAUUUGCUUCUCGAGACGACGACGCCAAUCAAGAAGUGCUUUCGACUUCAAAAGUUAUGAGAAAAAAAAAUUAUUUUUAUAUGAAGAUGGGUUUUAAAUUGGAGCAAACUUUAAAUCGACAUGAGCGUUGACAGAUGCAACACGCUGUAUCUCACAGUGCGAUAUCUCAAGUGGUACCAGGCAGCUCCGGUUUCUCUCGAGAAGCAUAUUUCGGGAUGCAUUUCACUUUGCAGAUAAACGCCGACGGAAGCUACAGGGUAUCUCCCGAACUAGUCAAAUUUUAUUCAUCAAGGCACGCAGUCGUCAACCCAUCCCAAAUUGCAAUUCCGCGAAUUGCAGCAUUCCCAGUGUACCUUUCAAAGCAUCAGGAAUGCGCAAAUGAAUCGCCGUCAUAGUAGUUUGAACGUAACCACGUUCGGCCACCCUGUCACUCAAACGCAGAGCCCGUA
Nylanderia fulva is the source of this 693-nucleotide long non-coding RNA. RefSeq lists it as uncharacterized. The record is from RefSeq and is a predicted model, not a curated record. NCBI's taxonomy places the organism in Eukaryota, Metazoa, Arthropoda, Insecta, Hymenoptera, Formicidae.